CCUAUUAUUCUGCUGUAAUUGAGAACCGUGCUGAUUUUCUUGGUCGCGUAGUGGUUGAUGUUGGCGCUGGUAGUGGCAUUUUGUCAUUAUUUGCAGCCCAAGUGAUCUAUUUGUAACAAAGCAUCUUGUGUUUUUCGAUAAUGAUAUCAACCAUGGCAGCCAGUUAUGCUGAUAUCUCUACUCUGUAUCUUUUCUUUUCCUUACCUCUCUUCACAUCCAUAAACCAUCAUAGGCUGGUGCAAAGCAUGUUUAUGCCAUAGAGGCUUCUGAAAUGGCCGACUAUGCAAGAAAACUUAUUGCUGGAAAUCCAUCACUGAAUGAAAGAAUUACAGUAAGUGUUCUUUUACUUGUUUAAUCUGACUCCACUUAGUAUUGGAUUGAGGUGUUGUUGAUUGAUUUAUUGAUCUUUUGCCUUUUCCUGUGUCUUUUCCAAGGCUAUCCGAUAUUCAUAUAGUAUCUUGGUAGUGCUUCUUAUUUUUCUUUUGUUAAUGUUUCAUCUAUGGAUGUUUAGGUAAUCAAAGGAAAGGUCGAAGAUGUAGAGUUACCUGAAAAAGCUGAUAUUUUGAUCUCUGAGCCAAUGGAUGGCAGGUGAAAAGAGGGGUAAGAAAACAAAGAAGGCUAACGAGACAGCGGUUCCCCGGAGACCACCAGAAAACCUUGCGAUUAGAAUGUUUGAAUUUUAAUGUUUGGUGGAUUUGUGGAUUUGCGAGGGUGAAGUAGUCUAAUGUUGUAGACUAACUUAGUGUAGACUAGUUUAAUGUUUUGUGGAUGUUUACAAAUGUUGAAGUAGUUUAAUGUUGUUUUGAUGUUCGCGAAGGUUGAAGUAGCUUAAUUAAUGUCUCUUGUGAAUGUUUGAUUGACGUUUUUAUUCAACUUUGAAGUAGUUUCGAAUUGAAUUUGAUGUUUUGGUGGUUGUAAUAUAUGUGUUGUAAUAGUAGCUUAUUGUUUUAUGUAUUUAUAGUAGUUUGGUGUA
Molecule: long non-coding RNA, 973 nt
Organism: Lycium barbarum (goji berry)
Lineage: Eukaryota; Viridiplantae; Streptophyta; Magnoliopsida; Solanales; Solanaceae
Exons: 2
Source: RefSeq, a predicted model, not a curated record